GUCUAUGGCUAUUCCACCCUGAGGGUGCCUAAUCUUGUCUGAUCCUGGAAGCUAAGCAGGCAUGGGCCUGUUUAGUACUUGGAUGGGAGCACCUGGUAUCUAACAGGUGUUUUUCAUG
Molecule: ribosomal RNA, 118 nt
Organism: Cricetulus griseus (Chinese hamster)
Lineage: Eukaryota; Metazoa; Chordata; Mammalia; Rodentia; Cricetidae
Source: Ensembl